AUUGAACGCUGGCGGAAUGCUUUACACAUGCAAGUCGAACGGCAGCACGGGGGCAGCCCUGGUGGCGAGUGGCGAACGGGUGAGUAAUACAUCGGAACGUGCCCGGUCGUGGGGGAUAACGUAGCGAAAGUUACGCUAAUACCGCAUACGAUCUGAGGAUGGAAGCGGGGGACCUUCGGGCCUCGCGCGAUCGGAGCGGCCGAUGUCAGAUUAGGUAGUUGGUGGGGUAAAGGCCUACCAAGCCGACGAUCUGUAGCUGGUCUGAGAGGACGACCAGCCACACUGGGACUGAGACACGGCCCAGACUCCUACGGGAGGCAGCAGUGGGGAAUUUUGGACAAUGGGCGCAAGCCUGAUCCAGCCAUUCCGCGUGCAGGACGAAGGCCUUCGGGUUGUAAACUGCUUUUGUACGGAGCGAAAAGGCUCUGGCUAAUACCUGGGGCUCAUGACGGUACCGGAAGAAUAAGCACCGGCUAACUACGUG
This 484-nucleotide ribosomal RNA is filed under the name uncultured bacterium. RNAcentral describes it as "partial 16S ribosomal RNA". It matches the Rfam family "Bacterial small subunit ribosomal RNA", at positions 29 to 507 of the family's 1533-position model. The record is from RNAcentral.